GAAAUGCGAUAAGUAGUGUGAAUUGCAGAAUUCAGUGAAUCAUCGAAUCUUUGAACGCACAUUGCGCCCCUUGGUAUUCCAUGGGGCAUGCCUGUUCGAGCGUCAUUUGUACCCUCAAGCUCUGCUUGGUGUUGGGUGUUUGUCCCGUCUCCGCGCGUGGACUCGCCCCAAAGUGAUUGGCAGCCGGCGUACUGGUCCCGGAGCGCAGCACAUGUCGCGCAAACGAGUGCCUUGGUACGGCGGCGUCCAUAAGCCCCUCUCUCACGCUCUUGACCUCGGAUCAGGUAUGGAUACCCGCUGAACUUAAGC
This 309-nucleotide unclassified non-coding RNA is filed under the name plant metagenome. Its description in RNAcentral is "partial contains 5.8S ribosomal RNA, internal transcribed spacer 2, and large subunit ribosomal RNA". The stretch from base 1 to 105 matches the Rfam family "5.8S ribosomal RNA", at positions 50 to 154 of the family's 154-position model. The record is from RNAcentral.